CACCAGUUUUAAACUGUUCUAGUACUCUGGACACUCUAUCUAAUCAUCAAUAAGUCCUUCGAUUCACUCAAGAAUAUAUCAACCAUCCACCAUUCAAAAGAAUGCUUCAAAACAUACCAUGUUUUAGAAAGAAAUGGAUCCACCAUUGUCAAAUUAAGGGUGUGUUUGGUUCAUGGGGUUAGCCACAAGGAAUGGGAAUGAAAGUCAUGAAAAUUGUUUGGUUGACAAUUUUUUAAAACACAGGAUAUGAUUACAGAUUAUCUGUAUAAUUACAAAACCCAUUACCUAAUUUAAAUCAGGUAUCAUUCCAUUAAUUCAACCUUAUCCCUCCUCAUUUCAUCGCCUCCUCAUUUCGUCGCCUCCUCACUCAUCUCUCCCCACUUCAUCGACUUCCUCGCUUCAUCUCAUACUCACU
Long non-coding RNA from Ipomoea nil (Japanese morning glory), 415 nucleotides. RefSeq lists it as uncharacterized. The transcript is spliced from 3 exons. The record is from RefSeq and is a predicted model, not a curated record. Lineage: Eukaryota; Viridiplantae; Streptophyta; Magnoliopsida; Solanales; Convolvulaceae.